AGUGGAUGGGGAGCAACCUAGUUGUGCGUGUGUAAAGGUAGUGCCAAGAAAAGCGAUGAUCAUGUUGAAAAUCAAUUCCCGGUACCCGAAACCGACACAGGUGGGCAAGUAGAGAAUACUAAGGGGCGCGAGGUAACUCUCUCCAAGGAACUCGGCAAAAUGACCCCGUAACUUAGGGAGAAGGGGUGCCACCGAGAGGUGGUCGCAGUGAAGAGGCCCAGGCGACUGUUUAGCAAAAACAUAGGUCUCUGCAAACUCGAAAGAGGAGGUAUAGGGGCUGACGCCUGCCCAGUGCCGGAAGGUUAAAGAAGUUGGUCAGUUUUAGGAUGAAGCUAGCGACUGAAGCCCCGGUGAACGGCGGCCGUAACUAUAACGGUCCUAAGGUAGCGAAAUUCCUUGUCGGGUAAGUUCCGACCCGCACGAAAGGCGUAACGAUCUGGGCGCUGUCUCGGAGAGAGGCUCGGCGAAAUAGGAUUGUCUGUGAAGAUACGGACUACCUGCAUUUGGACAGAAAGACCCUAUGAAGCUUUACUAUAGCUUGGAAUUGUGUUCGGGCUUCCUGUGCGCAGGAUAGGUGGGAGGCGUAGAAGGUAUUCUUGUGGGGAUACUGGAGCCAACGGUGAGAUACACUCUCAGGAGGCUAGAAUUCUAACUUAAUUAAGGACAGUUUCAGGUGGGUAGUUUGACUGGGGCGGUCGCCUCCAAAAAGGUAACGGAGGCGUACAAAGGUUCCCUCAGGCUGGUUGGAAAUCAGUCGAAGAGUGCAAAGGCAGAAGGGAGCUUGACUGCGAGAAGUACAGUUCGAGCAGGGUGGAAACACGGUCUUAGUGAUCCGACGGUGCUGUGUGGAAGGGCCGUCGCUCAACGGAUAGAAGUUACUCUAGGAUAACAGGCUGAUCUCCCCCAAGAGUUCACAUCGACGGGGAGGUUUGGCACCUCGAUGUCGGCUCAUCGCAACCUGGGGCGGAAGUACGUCCCAAGGGUUGGGCUGUUCGCCCAUUAAAGCGGUACGUGAGCUGGGUUCAGAACGUCGUGAGACAGUUCGGUCCAUAUCCGAUGUAGGCGUGAGAAUAUUGAGAGGAGCCUUCCUUAGUACGAGAGGACCGGGAAGGACGCACCGCUGGUGUACCUGUUAUGAUGCCAAUUGUAAACGCAGGGUAGCCAAGUGCGGAGAGGAUAACCGCUGAAAGCAUCUAAGUGGGAUGCCCACCUCAAGAUGAGUAUUCUGGUGUAAGGUCACGGGAAGACGACCCGUAAAUAGGCACGAGGUGGAAGUGCAGAGAUGUAUGAAGCCGAAGUGUACUAAUAGACCGUCGGCUUGACC
This 1324-nucleotide ribosomal RNA is filed under the name metagenome. Its description in RNAcentral is "bacterial LSU rRNA". It matches the Rfam family "Bacterial large subunit ribosomal RNA", at positions 1561 to 2925 of the family's 2925-position model. The record is from RNAcentral.